Molecule: ribosomal RNA, 258 nt
Filed under: uncultured Glomus
Lineage: Eukaryota; Fungi; Glomeromycota; Glomeromycetes; Glomerales; Glomeraceae
Description: partial 18S ribosomal RNA
Rfam family: Eukaryotic small subunit ribosomal RNA
Source: RNAcentral
AAGCUCGUAGUUGAAUUUCGGGAUCAGACUGUCGGUCGUGCCUCGGUACGCACUGGCAUUAUUGGUUCCUACCUUCUGAAGAACCGCGAUGUCAUUAAUUUGGUGUCGCGGGGAAUCAGGACUGUUACUUUGAAAAAAUUAGAGUGUUUAAAGCAGGCUUACGCUUGAAUACAUUAGCAUGGAAUAAUGAAAUAGGACGUUUGAUUCUAAUUUUGUUGGUUUCUAGGAUCGACGUAAUGAUUAAUAGGGAUAGUUGGG